Molecule: unclassified non-coding RNA, 857 nt
Filed under: Hevea brasiliensis (rubber tree)
Lineage: Eukaryota; Viridiplantae; Streptophyta; Magnoliopsida; Malpighiales; Euphorbiaceae
Source: RNAcentral
GACAAAUAUCAAUGACUCUGGUACGAUUUCUUAAAGCUCAUCACUCAUCAGCUACAUAUUUGCAUCAAUCAUUUAGUAAAACCUGUUUAUAUGCAUAAAUCAUGCUUGGAUUAUGUAGUUGGCCAGGGGAUGACUGCUGAAGAUGGCAAAGUCUGGUCAGGUUCAGACACCGAGGAUGGUUUCUUCAGCGUCAAAGGAGAUUUCAGCAGAUCUUGUAGUAAUGCUUCAAGCCGCCGAGACAGCUUCAGUGGGUGUCCUCUAUUAAACGAUGAAGGUGAUUCCAAACAGAUAGAAGAGAAAAAGAAACUUGCUGAGCUCUUUCAAGAUCCCUUCUGGAGUGAUCAAGUAGACAAUCGCACCAAAUUAUUUGAGUUCCUUCAGGACGAAUGUUGGAGUGAAGAAAUUGCUUCCAUCCAUUUGAAAGAUAUUCCUAGUGACACUACUACUCCAGGAAUAGAAGAUGAGAAAUUAAAAUCAAAGCAAGCAAUCCUCCAUUUAUCUCCAAAUAAGGAAACUUCAAGUCUCCCCAGAGAAGAAUUAAAGUUUGAUGAUAAAAUAGCUCGGGACCAUAAUCGCAGUCUUAAAAAUGAAAAUGCAGCUACUGCUAGUCACUGCUGCUUUCCAAGUUUGAGUCCAAGACGUAGCUCCAGGGAAAGAAGAAAGGGAAUCCACUUAAUUAAGGAUUAAAGGAACCAGGUGAAGGUUUUGAUUGUAAUCUUGCUUGCCUUGUUGCCUACACCUGAGAACAAGUUAGGUUUGACAUGCCUAAUGAACAUUUCUGUAACUUUCAAAUUUGUCAAUCAGCAUGCAUCUCUACCCUUGAGUUUGUGUUGGAAACAGAAAUAAACAAACUAAUU